UGUGGUUUAAUUCGAUGCAACGCGAAGAACCUUACCAGGUCUUGACAUCCCACGAAUUCAUCUGAAAGGAUGGAGUGCCUUCGGGAGCGUGGAGACAGGUGGUGCAUGGUUGUCGUCAGCUCGUGUCGUGAGAUGUUGGGUUAAGUCCCGCAACGAGCGCAACCCUUGCUAUUAGUUGCUAACAGGUAGAGCUGAGCACUCUAAUGGGACUGCCGGUGACAAGCCGGAGGAAGGUGGGGAUGACGUCAAAUCAUCAUGCCCUUUAUGACCUGGGCUACACACGUGCUACAAUGGAUGGUACAGAGAGCAGCGAGGCAGCGAUGUGGAGCGAAUCUCAAAAAGCCAUUCUCAGUUCGGAUUGGAGUCUGCAACUCGACUCCAUGAAGUCGGAAUCGCUAGUAAUCGCGAAUCAGCAUGUCGCGGUGAAUGCGUUCCCGGGCCUU
Molecule: ribosomal RNA, 443 nt
Filed under: uncultured Syntrophomonas sp.
Lineage: Bacteria; Bacillati; Bacillota; Clostridia; Eubacteriales; Syntrophomonadaceae
Description: bacterial SSU rRNA
Rfam family: Bacterial small subunit ribosomal RNA
Source: RNAcentral